RNAcentral lists this ribosomal RNA (387 nucleotides) under uncultured bacterium. Its description in RNAcentral is "bacterial SSU rRNA". It matches the Rfam family "Bacterial small subunit ribosomal RNA", at positions 28 to 434 of the family's 1533-position model. The record is from RNAcentral.
AGCGAACGCUAGCGGCGGGCCUAACACAUGCAAGUCGAGCGCAUACCUUCGGGUAUGAGCGGCGGGACGGGUGAGUAACGCGUAGGUCAUCUACCCUUUGGUGGGGGAUAACCCAGGGAAACUUGGGCUAAUACCGCACGAGGUCUACGGAUCAAAGCCUUCGGGCGCCAGAGGAUGAGCCUGCGUCGCAUUACCUAGUUGGCGGGGGUAACGGCCCACCAAGGGGACAUGCGUAGCUGGUCUGAGAGGAUGAUCAGCCACACUGGGACUGAGACACGGCCCAGACUCCUACGGGAGGCAGCAGUGGGGAAUAUUGCGCAAUGGGGGAAACCCUGACGCAGCCACGCCGCGUGGGUGAGUGAAAGGCCUUCGGGGUUGUAAAGCCCU